UUGAUGUUUUCCUUGUCCCUCCCGGGCCAAGCUAGGAUAUCACUGCAAACUCCAGUGACUAUAUCUGCCAUUUCAAGCCAUACCUUAACAUUGUUGACAGAGAGUGUGACAACAAUAAAAUAAGUUAAUUUAUGGAGCUAGAUGACUUCGUAAAAAUUGCAGAUUUUGCAAGAAGAUUAAAAUUCGCUUUGUAUACCAGUGGCUGCUCCAGCUGUAAGAGUCAUUAUAUCUCCAUUGGUUUUUGCAUUAAUGGCAGAGUUGACCACUGCUAAGAUUUGGUCGUGUUCAGCUCCCAUAUCUUCAGCAAUCUCAAUGCAGUGA
Molecule: long non-coding RNA, 321 nt
Organism: Abrus precatorius (Indian licorice)
Lineage: Eukaryota; Viridiplantae; Streptophyta; Magnoliopsida; Fabales; Fabaceae
Exons: 3
Source: RefSeq, a predicted model, not a curated record